RNAcentral lists this non-coding RNA (234 nucleotides) under Jeongeupia sp. Its description in RNAcentral is "SAH sequence". It matches the Rfam family "SAH (S-adenosyl-L-homocysteine) riboswitch aptamer". The record is from RNAcentral. Lineage: Bacteria; Pseudomonadati; Pseudomonadota; Betaproteobacteria; Neisseriales; Chitinibacteraceae.
CCUUCCGAGGAGCGCUGCGACCCUCUACGGAACCCGAUCCAGCAAGCGAGCGAGCCAAAGCGGCUUGUUGCCGCCCGAAGCACAGGAAACGGAAUGGACGUCCAUGAGGACGACCCGAAGGUAGCCCCCUUGCGGGGUUCCGAGCAUCGGACGGAAGCAAAACGCACAGGCGCAGCCGCUUGAUGUACGGGUUCGGGGCCAGGCUCGGAACGAAUCCAACGGCGCUCACCUGAC